GGAGUUAAUCUUCCGGAUGAUAGCGUCAUUGACAGAAUUCUUCGAUCACUGCCACCAAGCUACAAGAGCUUCGUGAUGAACUAUAACAUGCAAAGGAUGGAUAAGACGAUUCCCGAGCUCUUCGCAAUGCUAAAGGCUGCGGAGGUAGAAAUCAAGAAGGAGCAUCAAGUGUUGAUGGUCAAUAAGACCACCAGUUUCAAGAAAAAGGGCAAAGGGAAGAAGAAGGGGAACUUCAAGAAGAACAACAAGCAAGUUGUUGCUCAAGAGAAGAAACCCAAGUCUGGACCUAAGCCUGAGACUGAGUGCUUCUACUGCAAGCAGACUGGUCACUUGAAGUGGAACUGCCCCAAGUAUUUGGCGGAUAAGAAGGAUGGCAAGGUGAACAAA
RNAcentral lists this ribosomal RNA (387 nucleotides) under Triticum aestivum (bread wheat). RNAcentral describes it as "partial small subunit ribosomal RNA". The record is from RNAcentral. Lineage: Eukaryota; Viridiplantae; Streptophyta; Magnoliopsida; Poales; Poaceae.